This 405-nucleotide long non-coding RNA is filed under the name Numida meleagris (helmeted guineafowl). Its description in RNAcentral is "lncRNA (ENSNMEG00000003707.1)". The record is from RNAcentral. Lineage: Eukaryota; Metazoa; Chordata; Aves; Galliformes; Numididae.
AUUUUUUUCAUUACUAUGAUAUGAUAUAGUUAUUCUUCCUGUAUGUGGUUAUAAUAGGUACAUUAAAGAUUACUUUUUUUUUAUUGAACAGGUAGAAAGUUACUGUUUCCUUUCCUAAUAGUAAAAGACUUCAGACCACACAGAUUCAACUCUACAGAACUAACUUGGAUCAUACAAGGCAUAAACAGAUGAAUCUGUAUGGAAAUCCUAAUAUUUGAGCUAUUCUCUUCUGUUUAGAUACUGUUUUGGACCUGACCAGAGCAUACUUUGUGGCGUCUUACCAAAUUGUAGACUUUUCAUCUUCUUCUGUCAAAUAUGUGCACACAAACACAUCAGCAACUGAAGAGCCGUUCAUGGAACAAAUACUUUCUGCUAUAAGAGUACUGUUUUUCUAUGGACAGGUGG